AGUUGCUGCUUCACCUGCACCGCCACACAAACAGUCUUGAAACAACCCCAUCAUCAGCAGCUGAGUCUGAUCGCCCUUCAUGUAACCUUUCUGAUCACAUCAGAUCACAGUUUGAUUUAAAGUCAGCUACUUCAUCACUCUGAAGAGGAGCUCUCAACACUUCAGGAGGACCAGGAGACCUGAAGAUGGGGAGUUCAGGUUCAACACCAAGAUCAAGCAGAAGAUUGAGCAUAGACCUCCCUACUGUUAUCAGAG
Long non-coding RNA from Perca fluviatilis (European perch), 255 nucleotides. RefSeq lists it as uncharacterized. The transcript is spliced from 3 exons. Lineage: Eukaryota; Metazoa; Chordata; Actinopteri; Perciformes; Percidae. The record is from RefSeq and is a predicted model, not a curated record.